ACAGGCUUAACACAUGCAAGUCGAGGGGCAGCAUGAACUUAGCUUGCUAAGUUUGAUGGCGACCGGCGCACGGGUGAGUAACACGUAUCCGACCUGCCGAUGACUCGGGGAUAGCCUUUCGAAAGAAAGAUUAAUACCCGAUGGCAUAGUUCUUCCGCAUGGUAGAACUAUUAAAGGAUUUCGGUCAUCGAUGGGGAUGCGUUCCAUUAGGUUGUUGGCGGGGUAACGGCCCACCAAGCCUUCGAUGGAUAGGGGUUCUGAGAGGAAGGUCCCCCACAUUGGAACUGAGACACGGUCCAAACUCCUACGGGAGGCAGCAGUGAGGAAUAUUGGUCAAUGGACGAGAGUCUGAACCAGCCAAGUAGCGUGAAGGAUGACUGCCCUAUGGGUUGUAAACUUCUUUUAUACGGGAAUAAAGUGAGGCACGUGUGCCUUUUUGUAUGUACCGUAUGAAUAAGGAUCGGCUAACUCCGUGCCAGCAGCCGCGGUAAUACGGAGGAUCCGAGCGUUAUCCGGAUUUAUUGGGUUUAAAGGGAGCGUAUGCGGACGCUUAAGUCAGUUGUGAGAGUUUGCGGCUCAACCGUAAAAUUGCAGUUGAUACUGGGU
This 606-nucleotide ribosomal RNA is filed under the name uncultured organism. RNAcentral's name for it is "SSU rRNA". It matches the Rfam family "Bacterial small subunit ribosomal RNA", at positions 42 to 638 of the family's 1533-position model. The record is from RNAcentral.